Molecule: ribosomal RNA, 243 nt
Filed under: uncultured bacterium
Lineage: Bacteria
Description: partial small subunit ribosomal RNA
Rfam family: Bacterial small subunit ribosomal RNA
Source: RNAcentral
AGAAUCAACGUUGGCGGCGUGCCUAACACAUGCAAGUCGAACGAGAAAGUGGAGCAAUCCACAAGUAAAGUGGCGCACGGGUGAGUAACACGUGACUAACCUACCUUGAGUGGGGGAUAACCUAGAGAAAUCUGGGCUAAUACCGCAUAAUACCUUCGGGUCAAAGGAGCAAUUCGCUUAAGGAGGGGGUCGCGGCCGAUUAGUUAGUUGGCGGGUAAUGGCCCACAAGACUAUGAUCGGUAU